RNAcentral lists this ribosomal RNA (414 nucleotides) under uncultured bacterium. RNAcentral describes it as "bacterial SSU rRNA". It matches the Rfam family "Bacterial small subunit ribosomal RNA", at positions 355 to 775 of the family's 1533-position model. The record is from RNAcentral.
UCGAGGAUCUUCGUCAAUGGGCGCAAGCCUGAACGAGCGACGCCGCGUGUGCGAUGAAGGCCUUCGGGUUGUAAAGCACUGUCGAGGGGGAGAAAGCCGGGAAACCGGUUGAUCGAUCCCUGGAGGAAGCACGGGCUAAGUUCGUGCCAGCAGCCGCGGUAAGACGAACCGUGCGAACGUUGUUCGGAAUCACUGGGCUUAAAGGGCGCGUAGGCGGCUCCGCCAGUCGGGGGUGAAAUCCCACCGCUUAACGGUGGAAGGGCCUCCGAUACUGCGGGGCUGGAGGGAGGUAGGGGCAGCGGGAACUUCGGGUGGAGCGGUGAAAUGCGUUGAUAUCCGAAGGAACGCCGGUGGCGAAAGCGCGCUGCUGGACCUCUUCUGACGCUGAGGCGCGAAAGCCAGGGGAGCAAACGG